UACGUAGGGGGCUAGCGUUGUCCGGAAUCAUUGGGCGUAAAGCGCGCGUAGGCGGCCCGGUAAGUCCGCUGUGAAAGUCAAAGGCUCAACCUUUGAAUGUCAGCGGAUACUGCCGGGCUAGAGUCCGGAAGAGGCGAGUGGAACUCCUGGUGUAGCGGUGGAAUGCGCAGAUAUCGGGAGGAACACCAAUGGCGAAGGCAGCUCGCUGGGACGUUACUGACGCUGAGACGCGAAAGCGUGGGGAGCAAACAGG
Molecule: ribosomal RNA, 253 nt
Filed under: uncultured bacterium
Lineage: Bacteria
Description: partial 16S ribosomal RNA
Rfam family: Bacterial small subunit ribosomal RNA
Source: RNAcentral